GAUGAACGCUGGCGGCGCGCCUAACACAUGCAAGUCGAACGAGCGAGAGAGAGCUUGCUUUCUCGAGCGAGUGGCGAACGGGUGAGUAACGCGUGAGGAACCUGCCUCAAAGAGGGGGACAACAGUUGGAAACGACUGCUAAUACCGCAUAAGCCCACGACCCGGCAUCGGGUUGAGGGAAAAGGAGCAAUCCGCUUUGAGAUGGCCUCGCGUCCGAUUAGCUAGUUGGUGAGGUAAUGGCUCACCAAGGCGAUGAUACGUAGCCGACCUGAGAGGGUGAUCGGCUACACUGGGACUGAGACACGGCCCAG
This 311-nucleotide ribosomal RNA is filed under the name uncultured bacterium. RNAcentral's name for it is "bacterial SSU rRNA". It matches the Rfam family "Bacterial small subunit ribosomal RNA", at positions 28 to 334 of the family's 1533-position model. The record is from RNAcentral.